GCUGGGUGUGGUGGUGUGCACCUGUAGUCCUAGCUACUUGGGAGGCUGAGGUGGGAGGAUCCCUUGGGCCCAGGAGUUUGAGGUUGCAGUGAGCUAUGAUUGCAUCACUACACUCCAGCUUGGGCAACAGAGUGGGACCCUGUCUCUA
Molecule: non-coding RNA, 148 nt
Filed under: Pan paniscus (pygmy chimpanzee)
Lineage: Eukaryota; Metazoa; Chordata; Mammalia; Primates; Hominidae
Also listed under: 1 other name
Source: Rfam by way of RNAcentral